AAGUCGUAACAAGGUUUCCGUAGGUGAACCUGCGGAAGGAUCAUUAACACGCUUCAAUGUGCUCGUACACUUUGUCAAAGCGAGGCAAUCCCUGGUAAAUCAUCGCCGAACAGUUUUGAUUCUGGGACUUCCUCAAAGAGUGUGCAUGUUGCGCGAGGCAAGUGGCCUGGCAUUCCCAAGCAGUUAAUGUCUGAAAGUGUCAUUAGCUGUGUAAGGAUGACGCAGUAACGAUCGUUGGAGGCCGACACGGCCGACGACCGGGUCACCGGGCGCAAGCCCCUUUAUCACCACUUAAUGCAUGACAGACGCGCCAGCGCUUAAUUGUGCGGCGACCAAAAACCGAACAACUGUUAACAAUGGAUAUCUUGGUUCUC
RNAcentral lists this unclassified non-coding RNA (374 nucleotides) under fungal sp. Its description in RNAcentral is "partial internal transcribed spacer region". The stretch from base 1 to 46 matches the Rfam family "Eukaryotic small subunit ribosomal RNA", at positions 1786 to 1831 of the family's 1831-position model. The record is from RNAcentral. Lineage: Eukaryota; Fungi.